Molecule: ribosomal RNA, 447 nt
Filed under: uncultured organism
Description: partial 16S ribosomal RNA
Rfam family: Bacterial small subunit ribosomal RNA
Source: RNAcentral
CACUCCUGCGGGAGGCAGCAGUGGGGAAUAUUGGACAAUGGGCGAAAGCCUGAUCCAGCAAUGCCGCGUGAGUGAUGAAGGCCUUAGGGUUGUAAAGCUCUUUUACCCGGGAUGAUAAUGACAGUACCGGGAGAAUAAGCCCCGGCUAACUCCGUGCCAGCAGCCGCGGUAAUACGGAGGGGGCUAGCGUUGUUCGGAAUUACUGGGCGUAAAGCGCGCGUAGGCGGCUUUGUAAGUUAGAGGUGAAAGCCCGGAGCUCAACUUCGGAAUUGCCUUUAAGACUGCAUCGCUAGAAUCGUGGAGAGGUGAGUGGAAUUCCGAGUGUAGAGGUGAAAUUCGUAGAUAUUCGGAAGAACACCAGUGGCGAAGGCGACUCACUGGACACGUAUUGACGCUGAGGUGCGAAAGCGUGGGGAGCAAACAGGAUUAGAUACCCUUGUAGUCCCA